Molecule: ribosomal RNA, 298 nt
Filed under: uncultured eukaryote
Lineage: Eukaryota
Description: partial 18S ribosomal RNA
Rfam family: Eukaryotic small subunit ribosomal RNA
Source: RNAcentral
CCCUUUGAUACUCUGGGCGGCACGCGCGCUACAAUGGAUAACUUAACGUGUUACAUGUCCGAAAGGAUGUAUGCAAAUCACAAAUGUUAUGUCUCGAGUGGGAUAGUUUACCGCAAUUAUAGACUUGAACUAGGAAUCCCUUGUAGGUACACUGAAGCAUAGUGUACCGAAUACGUCCCUGCCGUUUGUACACACCGCCCGUCGUUUCUUCCGACUGAUACUCAUUGUGAAUUGCGGGGAUAACGUUGUUGAAAACCGUUGUAAAUGCUGGGUAUUGGAGGAAGAAAAAGUCGUAACA